GGAGUCUGGUCCGUGUCUCAGUACCAGUGUGGGGGACCUUCCUCUCAGAACCCCUAAGGAUCGUCGGAGCGGUGGGCCGUCACCCCGCCGCCGUCCUAAUCCUACGCAUCCCCAUCCCAUGGCGGACAAGCCUUUGCUCGCAAUCGGAUGCCGUCUUGCGAGAACAUCGGGGGUUAAUCCGACUUUCGCCGGGCUGUCCCCGACCAUGGGGCAGGUUGGAUACGCGUUACUCACCCGUGCGCCGGUCGCCAUCAAAGAUAGCAAGCUAUCUUCAUGCUGCCCCUCGACUUGCAUGUGUUAAGCCUGUAGCUAGCGUUCAUC
Molecule: ribosomal RNA, 321 nt
Filed under: uncultured Prevotella sp.
Lineage: Bacteria; Pseudomonadati; Bacteroidota; Bacteroidia; Bacteroidales; Prevotellaceae
Description: partial 16S ribosomal RNA
Source: RNAcentral